Molecule: long non-coding RNA, 1096 nt
Organism: Archocentrus centrarchus (flier cichlid)
Lineage: Eukaryota; Metazoa; Chordata; Actinopteri; Cichliformes; Cichlidae
Exons: 3
Source: RefSeq, a predicted model, not a curated record
GAGGAGCAGCGCGGUGUGCGCACGCACGCACAUGCGCACCCAGUAAUGAAAAUUACUAACUACAAAAAACACUUUAUUCUACAUCAAUCCUUAAAAACAACUUAAAAACACUGCCUACCUGCAACGUCUCAUGAGCCCACACCCUGUCACGGCAAAUCCUGCAGGACAUCGAGUGUGGCCAUAUGGCGUCGAACCCCACGCCCAAACAAUCCCACUUCAAUCUUUUGCGCUCCUAAAAGUUGUGUGGCCCUGUUAUAAAAAUAUACACCACACGUCGGUACACACAAGACUGUUUCAAACAAUUUAAAAACAAUUCUCCGACUUACCACGAUCGCACACCCGGAGCAUGUAAUGCCAAACAACCACCUGGCUGUCCACUGGAAACUGGCACCUCCCAACAACACCGCCAGCUUCCCUUUUAUUGAGGCUUAAGCCAGGGAAAAUGCAACGCCUUGUGGUACCACCUGUUACAUAUGUGUGUGUGUUCUGGUGGAAUUUCAGGAAGAGAACAACAAAAAAAAAGCACGCUAUUAUAAAGGAGCCUGCAGGGAGGCAGCCAGAUACACUGGCGCCCUGGUUGCCAUUUCCACAGUAGGGCUGGCUGCUCUGUGAGUGUACACACACACACACACGGAGACACACACACAAAUAAGUUUCCUGGUUUUUUUGGGUUUUUUUCUUGUGCUUAUAUCUAUCUUUUAUUUCUGAUUUUUUUCAGUGCCAUCAAAAAGAGAAACAUUUUUAUCCUGGGACCCAUAAUCCCACAAUUGUUCAUACUAACAGCACAAAUAGACUACGGAUAUGGCACCAUGGCUGAGAGGAUUAACAGGCAGGCAGAAACUGUCCAGAAGGAGGAAAAAAAAAAAAACACCCCAAAAUAAGUAACACCAUGAACAAGCAGGCAGGAUGGUGGAGCCUCCAAAGUUCCGUUUCAAGGACAGCAUCCAGCUGAUUUUGAUUUCAUUGCUUUGUUGAUGCUCAAAUUACGACAGAGUAUUAAGGCCACAUUGAAAAAAAAAAUAAAAAUGCAUUUCGAGAAUAAAGUCGAAAUUUCGAGAAUAAAGUCGCAAUUUCGAGAAAAAAGUCAAAAUACUAU